This 253-nucleotide ribosomal RNA is filed under the name uncultured bacterium. RNAcentral's name for it is "partial 16S ribosomal RNA". It matches the Rfam family "Bacterial small subunit ribosomal RNA", at positions 524 to 776 of the family's 1533-position model. The record is from RNAcentral.
UACGGAGGAUGCAAGCGUUAUCCGGAAUCAUUGGGCGUAAAGGGUCCUGAGGUGGCCUGCCCAGUCUGCUGUGAAAGAUCAGGGCUCAACCCUGAAGAUGCGGCAGAAACUAGCAGGCUAGGAUACGGUAGGGGCAGGGGGAAUUCCCGGUGUAGCGGUGAAAUGCAUAGAUAUCGGGAGGAACACCAAAGGCGAAGGCACCCUGCUGGGCCGAUAUUGACACUGACAGACGAGAGCUAGGGGAGCGAAUGGG